AGAGUUUGAUCCUGGCUCAGGAUGAACGCUGGCGGCGUGCUUAACACAUGCAAGUCGAACGGUGAAGCCCAGCUUGCUGGGUGGAUCAGUGGCGAACGGGUGAGUAACACGUGAGCAACCUGCCCCUGACUCUGGGAUAAGCGCUGGAAACGGCGUCUAAUACUGGAUAUGUGACGUGACCGCAUGGUCUAUGUUUGGAAAGAUUUUUCGGUUGGGGAUGGGCUCGCGGCCUAUCAGCUUGUUGGUGAGGUAAUGGCUCACCAAGGCGUCGACGGGUAGCCGGCCUGAGAGGGUGACCGGCCACACUGGGACUGAGACACGGCCCAGACUCCUACGGGAGGCAGCAGUGGGGAAUAUUGCACAAUGGGCGGAAGCCUGAUGCAGCAACGCCGCGUGAGGGAUGACGGCCUUCGGGUUGUAAACCUCUUUUAGCAGGGAAGAAGCGAAAGUGACGGUACCUGCAGAAAAAGCGCCGGCUAACUACGUGCCAGCAGCCGCGGUAAUACGUAGGGCGCAAGCGUUAUCCGGAAUUAUUGGGCGUAAAGAGCUCGUAGGCGGUUUGUCGCGUCUGCUGUGAAAUCCCGAGGCUCAACCUCGGGCCUGCAGUGGGUACGGGCAGACUAGAGUGCGGUAGGGGAGAUUGGAAUUCCUGGUGUAGCGGUGGAAUGCGCAGAUAUCAGGAGGAACACCGAUGGCGAAGGCAGAUCUCUGGGCCGUAACUGACGCUGAGGAGCGAAAGGGUGGGGAGCAAACAGGCUUAGAUACCCUGGUAGUCCACCCCGUAAACGUUGGGAACUAGUUGUGGGGUCCAUUCCACGGAUUCCGUGACGCAGCUAACGCAUUAAGUUCCCCGCCUGGGGAGUACGGCCGCAAGGCUAAAACUCAAAGGAAUUGACGGGGACCCGCACAAGCGGCGGAGCAUGCGGAUUAAUUCGAUGCAACGCGAAGAACCUUACCAAGGCUUGACAUAUACGAGAACGGGCCAGAAAUGGUCAACUCUUUGGACACUCGUAAACAGGUGGUGCAUGGUUGUCGUCAGCUCGUGUCGUGAGAUGUUGGGUUAAGUCCCGCAACGAGCGCAACCCUCGUUCUAUGUUGCCAGCACGUAAUGGUGGGAACUCAUGGGAUACUGCCGGGGUCAACUCGGAGGAAGGUGGGGAUGACGUCAAAUCAUCAUGCCCCUUAUGUCUUGGGCUUCACGCAUGCUACAAUGGCCGGUACAAAGGGCUGCAAUACCGUGAGGUGGAGCGAAUCCCAAAAAGCCGGUCCCAGUUCGGAUUGAGGUCUGCAACUCGACCUCAUGAAGUCGGAGUCGCUAGUAAUCGCAGAUCAGCAACGCUGCGGUGAAUACGUUCCCGGGUCUUGUACACACCGCCCGUCAAGUCAUGAAAGUCGGUAACACCUGAAGCCGGUGGCCUAACCCUUGUGGAGGGAGCCGUCGAAGGUGGGAUCGGUAAUUAGGACUAAGUCGUAACAAGGUAACC
RNAcentral lists this ribosomal RNA (1484 nucleotides) under Microbacterium sp. RNAcentral describes it as "bacterial SSU rRNA". It matches the Rfam family "Bacterial small subunit ribosomal RNA". Lineage: Bacteria; Bacillati; Actinomycetota; Actinomycetes; Micrococcales; Microbacteriaceae. The record is from RNAcentral.